This 800-nucleotide ribosomal RNA is filed under the name uncultured archaeon. RNAcentral describes it as "bacterial SSU rRNA". It matches the Rfam family "Archaeal small subunit ribosomal RNA", at positions 81 to 879 of the family's 1478-position model. The record is from RNAcentral.
CCUUACGGCUCAGUAACACGUGGAUAACCUGCCCUUGGGUCCGGCAUAACCCCGGGAAACUGGGGAUAAUUCCGGAUAACGCAUAUAUGCUGGAAUGCUUUAUGCGUCAAAUGGAUUCGUCUGCCCAAGGAUGGAUCUGCGGCCUAUCAGGUAGUAGUGGGUGUAAUGUACCUACUAGCCAACAACGGGUACGGGUUGUGAGAGCAAGAGCCCGGAGAUGGAUUCUGAGACAUGAAUCCAGGCCCUACGGGGCGCAGCAGGCGCGAAAACUUUACAAUGCGGGAAACCGUGAUAAGGGGACACCGAGUGCCAGCAUCAUAUGCUGGCUGUCCGGGUGUGUAAAAUACACCUGUUAGCAAGGGCCGGGCAAGACCGGUGCCAGCCGCCGCGGUAACACCGGCGGCCCGAGUGGUGAUCGUGAUUAUUGGGUCUAAAGGGUCCGUAGCCGGUUUGGUCAGUCCUCCGGGAAAUCUGACAGCUCAACUGUUAGGCUUUCGGGGGAUACUGCCAGACUUGGAACCGGGAGAGGUAAGAGGUACUACAGGGGUAGGAGUGAAAUCUUGUAAUCCCUGUGGGACCACCUGUGGCGAAGGCGUCUUACCAGAACGGGUUCGACGGUGAGGGACGAAAGCUGGGGGCACGAACCGGAUUAGAUACCCGGGUAGUCCCAGCCGUAAACGAUGCUCGCUAGGUGUCAGGCAUGGCGCGACCGUGUCUGGUGCCGCAGGGAAGCCGUGAAGCGAGCCACCUGGGAAGUACGGCCGCAAGGCUGAAACUUAAAGGAAUUGGCGGGGGAGCAC